This is an RNA transcript of Gossypium arboreum, 1795 nucleotides long. It is a transcript of the gene named peptidyl-prolyl cis-trans isomerase CYP40-like, with no coding region annotated. Lineage: Eukaryota; Viridiplantae; Streptophyta; Magnoliopsida; Malvales; Malvaceae. The record is from RefSeq and is a predicted model, not a curated record. The transcript has 9 exons.
UAAUAUCAUCAUCCUCUAAACUCUGAAGGGCCUGGAAAUUUGAGCCCACCUACCUUAACCUCAAAAUCCGUGUCAUGUAACUCACUCAACACAAAUAUCCGACGGUUCCAAAGGCACCCUUAGAACCAGGCAGCUGUUGCCAAAGCAAACUAACCAACACGGCAAAACGAACCAGCAAAGUCAGAACCGACGACCUUUUGUUUUCUUUUUUAGGGUUCAAGUGGGAUUGGGGUUGUUUUCAUUUUCAGUUGAAGAAGAGAAGGAAAAUGGUGAACCCAAGGUGUUAUUUGGACAUAAGUAUAGGAGGAGAACUAGAAGGAAGGAUUGUAGUGGAGUUGUACAAGGAUGUUGUGCCUAAAACUGCUGAGAAUUUCAGGACUUUGUGCACUGGUGAGAAAGGCAUUGCUCCUAACUCUGCUGCCUCCCUGCAUUACAAGGGUGUGCGCUUUCAUCGCAUUAUCCGAGGUUUUAUGAUACAAGGUGGGGAUAUAUCAGCUGGUGAUGGAACUGGGGGAGAAUCCAUUUAUGGCUUGAAAUUUGAAGAUGAAAAUUUCGAGUUAAAACAUGAAAGAAAAGGAACGUUAUCGAUGGCUAAUAUGGGGCCUAACACCAAUGGGUCUCAAUUCUUCAUUACAACUACUCGAACAUCUCAUCUCGAUGGAAAACAUGUGGUUUUUGGGAAGGUUAUAAAAGGAAUGGGUGUUGUUCGUUCUAUCGAGCUUGUUGCUACUGAGGAUGGUGAUUACCCCACUCAAGAGGUUAUAAUUGCUGAUUGCGGAGAAAUUCCCGAGGGGGGGGAUGAUGGAGUAUCCAACCUUUUUAAGGAUGGUGAUAUAUAUCCUGAUUGGCCAGUUGACCUUGACAAAAAACCAGAUGAAAUUUCUUGGUGGAUGAAGGCAGUAGACUCUAUCAAAGCUUUUGCAAACGAGCAAUACAAGAAACAAGACUAUAAGAUUGCUCUUAGAAAAUAUUGGAAGGCUUUACGUUACUUGGAUGUCUGCUGGGACUUGGAGGGAAUUGAUCAAGCAAAGAGCUCGUAUUUGCGGAAGACCAAGUCUCAGAUAUUUACAAACAGUUCUGCCUGCAAGUUGAAACUAGGCGAUCUAAAAGGAGCAUUGUUGGAUGCAGACUUUGCAAUUCGUGAUGGAGAAGAUAAUGUGAAAGCUUUCUUUCGUCAAGGCCAGGCAAAUAUGGCACUUAAUGACAUCGAUUCUGCAGUUGAGAGCUUUAAAAAGGCAUUGGACUUGGAACCUAAUGAUGGUGGAAUAAAGAAAGAGCUUGCAGCUGCAAGGAAGAAGAUUGCUGAUAGACGGGACCAGGAGAAAAAGGCGUACUCUAGAAUGUUUCAGUAGAACUUUAGUCAACAUUAUGGUACUGCAACAAUCUUUAUAUUUGCUUUCUGAAUAUCUAAGUUUCAUGUUCUCUAGUAAACCAUGUUUUCAUGAUUUGUAGGCCGACUUUUGUCUUGAAAGAUCAGUUUUGGAUUUUCUUUUUUCAUACCUCAUCAUGUAUCUAGUCUUCGGAGUUCUUUUAUUGUCUGGCCAGCAUUAGGAGAAAUCGGGCAUUUGUUUAUGCUAAAACCUUCCAGAUUUCUCCUCAGGAAAUACUCAAACUUGGGUGCAUUUUAAAUCAGAACCAUCUUUUAUUCCUUUUUAUUUCUGGUCUAGCAGAUCUGACAUUUUAUUCCGAGCAGGAACUGUAUUUUCGUGCACGUCUGUUUGAAUUUAUGUGAAAAUUCUUUUUAUGUGCACAAGACAAAUUUUCAUUUGAGAUAAAAUCGAUACUUUCUUUUUAA